AGUGAACGCUGGCGGUAGGCCUAACACAUGCAAGUCGAACGGCAGCACAGUAAGAGCUUGCUCUUACGUGUGGCGAGUGGCGGACGGGUGAGGAAUACAUCGGACUCUACUUUUUCGUGGGGGAUAACGUAGGGAAACUUACGCUAAUACCGCAUACGACCUAAGGUUGCAUGCAGGGGAUCUUCGGACCUUGCGCGAUAGAAUGAGCCGAGGUCGGAUUAGCUAGUUGGCGGGGUAAAGGCCCACCAAGGCGACGAUCCGUAGCUGGUCUGAGAGGAUGAGCAGCUACACUGGAACUGAGACACGGUCCAGACUCCUACGGGAGGCAGCAGUGGGGAAUAUUGUACAAUGGGCGCAAGCCUGAUCCAGCCAUGCCGAGUGGGUGAAGAAGGCCUUCGGGUUGUAAAGCCAUUUUGUUGGGAAAGAAAAGCAGCAGGUUAAUACCCCGAUGUUCUGACGGUACCCAAAGAAUAAGCACCGGCUAACUUCGUG
Molecule: ribosomal RNA, 492 nt
Filed under: uncultured bacterium
Lineage: Bacteria
Description: partial 16S ribosomal RNA
Rfam family: Bacterial small subunit ribosomal RNA
Source: RNAcentral